AAGUCGUAACAAGGUUUCCGUAGGUGAACCUGCGGAAGGAUCAUUAACACGUAUCCAAACGUAAAAAACCCCCCGCGUGAACAUUCAAUCCUGCUCUUGUAACCCGCGUAGUUCGCAAUCUCUGGUAAAUCAUAGCCCGGAAAGUAGUUUUGAUUCAGAGACCUCUGGCUACGUGAGAACAUUGGAACAGUUACAAUCGAGCGGUAGUUUCAUAGGCAUUGUUUCCCCAAGCAGUUAGUGUCUGAAAGUGUCACUGAUUGUGCAAGGAUAGCGCUUCAACGAUUCCUGUAGACCGUACACUCGGGCAGGAGCUAUGCCAAAGGGUCCCCAUGCCCCCUUAUAACCCCACAGUUUAAUGUGAAGCUCAAUGUAAUACAUUGGGUAAAAAAACCGAACAACUGUUAACAAUGGAUAUCUUGGUUCUC
Molecule: unclassified non-coding RNA, 425 nt
Filed under: fungal sp.
Lineage: Eukaryota; Fungi
Description: partial internal transcribed spacer region
Rfam family: Eukaryotic small subunit ribosomal RNA (bases 1-46)
Source: RNAcentral